AGAAAAUUGAGGAAUCGUUGUGUAUUUCAGGUAUGGAAGAUAGAAAUCUAUUCCACUAAAAUGAGAAAGACAGUGAAGUCUCUGAAGAAAACUGCUUUAACUCAGCUGACCAGAAGAUGAUGGUGAAACUGAGUUAUGUCUUUCCUGAGACCAGGCUGUUGAGUGACUGGAAACGUUCCUGAAGAGUGUAUCCUGUGACAGGUCUGACAACUGUGACCAAGCUUAUUUGUAAAGAUUUGCUGCAUCCAUGCAAGGGAAAAGCAGAGCAGUUGGCCAUCAGCUAGGAAAAGCAGGAAGAACCAAACAGAAGACUUUCUGAAACAGACAUAGAGUGUAUUUCUCCCAGAAUACAAUAAUAGGACUUCUCUGCCACUGUAAAAAAAACAGCAUGAGGAGGCACCUGACUUAAAAGAGCAUGCAGACUAAUGACUUUAGUCUUGAAGACUUUUAUUUGCCCUCAUACUGUAGAGAAUUUAGGCACAAUCUGAUUUAUGGAUGAUGUUCUGCAGGUGGGUU
Coturnix japonica (Japanese quail) is the source of this 516-nucleotide long non-coding RNA. RefSeq lists it as uncharacterized. The record is from RefSeq and is a predicted model, not a curated record. Lineage: Eukaryota; Metazoa; Chordata; Aves; Galliformes; Phasianidae.